UACGGAAGGCAGCAGUGGGGAAUAUUGCACAAUGGGCGAAAGCCUGAUGCGGCUAUGCCGCGUGUAUGAAGAAGGCCUUAGGGUUGUAAAGUACUUUCAUCGGGGAGGAAAAAACAAAACUAAUAAUUUUAUUUCUUGACGUUACCCGAAAAAGAAGCACCGGCUAACUCCGUGCCAGCAGCCGCGGUAAUACGGAGGGUGCUAGCGUUAAUCAGAAUUACUGGGCGUAAAGAGCACGUAGGUGGUUUUUUUAAAGUCAGAUGUGAAAUCCCUGGGCUUUAACCUAGGAACUGCAUUUUGAAACUGAAAUACUAGAGUAUCGUAGAGGGAGGUAGAAUUCUAGGUGUAGCGGUGAAAUGCGUAGAUAUCUGGAGGAAUACCUGUGGCGAAAGCGGCCUCCUAAACGAAUACUGACACUGAGGGUGCGAAAGCGUGGGGAGCAAACAGGGAUUAGAUACC
RNAcentral lists this ribosomal RNA (459 nucleotides) under uncultured bacterium. Its description in RNAcentral is "bacterial SSU rRNA". It matches the Rfam family "Bacterial small subunit ribosomal RNA", at positions 340 to 786 of the family's 1533-position model. The record is from RNAcentral.